AUUGAACGCUGGCGGCAUGCCUUACACAUGCAAGUCGAACGGUAACGCGGGGCAACCUGGCGACGAGUGGCGAACGGGUGAGUAAUGUAUCGGAACGUGCCCAGUUGUGGGGGAUAACUGCUCGAAAGAGCAGCUAAUACCGCAUACGACCUGAGGGUGAAAGCGGGGGAUCGCAAGACCUCGCGCAAUUGGAGCGGCCGAUAUCAGAUUAGGUAGUUGGUGGGGUAAAGGCUCACCAAGCCGACGAUCUGUAGCUGGUCUGAGAGGACGACCGGCCACACUGGGACUGAGACACGGCCCAGACUCCUACGGGAGGCAGCAGUGGGGAAUUUUGGACCAUGGGCGCAAGCCUGAUCCCGCCAUGCCGCGUGCGGGAAGAAGGCCUUCGGGUUGUAAACCGCUUUUGUCAGGGAAGAAAAGGCUCCUGUUAAUACCGGGGGCUCAUGACGGUACCUGAAGAAUAAGCACCGGCUAACUACGUGCCAGCCGCCGCAGUAA
This 498-nucleotide ribosomal RNA is filed under the name uncultured bacterium. RNAcentral describes it as "partial 16S ribosomal RNA". It matches the Rfam family "Bacterial small subunit ribosomal RNA", at positions 29 to 523 of the family's 1533-position model. The record is from RNAcentral.